This 253-nucleotide ribosomal RNA is filed under the name uncultured bacterium. RNAcentral's name for it is "partial 16S ribosomal RNA". It matches the Rfam family "Bacterial small subunit ribosomal RNA", at positions 524 to 776 of the family's 1533-position model. The record is from RNAcentral.
UACGAAGGGGGCUAGCGUUGCUCGGAAUCACUGGGCGUAAAGCGCACGUAGGCGGUUUGCUAAGUCAGGGGUGAAAUCCUGGAGCUCAACUCCAGAACUGCCUUUGAAACUGUGAAACUUGAGGAUGAGAGAGGUGAGUGGAAUUCCCAGUGUAGAGGUGAAAUUCGUAGAUAUUGGGAAGAACACCGGUGGCGAAGGCGGCUCACUGGCUCAUUUCUGACGCUCAGGCGCGACAGCGUGGGGAUCAAACAGG